UCUCAAUCUAUAAACAAGUGGUGAACAAUGGUAAUAAAGAGUUCAGAAAUAUGUGAUACUAAAGAAGACAAUGAUGGUGAAGACGAGAGGUUGAGGCUAUACGAUUCAACCACAUAUUGGAUAAGUAAUUCACCAAAAAAAGCUUCUGAUCAACCCUCCUAGAAAACCUAGGGUGAAGAAAGGUAGAAGAAAAUUGUCAUUAAGAAGGUAGAGAGCAUGCCGAUAACGACGAUGAUGCGGCCAGUCAAAAGACAGGUUGAGGGGAGAAGUGAUGAAGAACAAAACAAGGAGAUGGAAAAAAUACAUGAAAAGCUGUGAAAUACUAGUGUAAUUGUUAGGUGUAUAAUUUGUAUGUGUAUGACUACAAAAGAAUAUUUUACAUCUCAUUGUAAAAUCAAAUUCAAGAAUUAAUAAAAAUAAUUUAAACUUAAUUUCUCCA
Long non-coding RNA from Tripterygium wilfordii, 439 nucleotides. RefSeq lists it as uncharacterized. The record is from RefSeq and is a predicted model, not a curated record. The transcript has 2 exons. Lineage: Eukaryota; Viridiplantae; Streptophyta; Magnoliopsida; Celastrales; Celastraceae.